CACAGGAUCAGCCGAGGUCUCCUGUGCCUUCUGCUUUUUCAGACCAAUCCCGUUGUUUGAUUGCCCAGACCACCCCUGUAGCAGGGUCUCAGUCCCUUUCCUCUGGGGUAGUGGCAACGACCACGUCCUCUGCUGGUGAUCACAAUGGCAUGCUCUCUGUCCCUGCCCCUGGGGUGCCCCACUCUGAUGUGGGGGAGCCACCUGCCUCUACUGGGGCCCAGCAGCCUUCUGCAUUAGCCGCCCUGCAGCCAGCAAAGGAGCGGCGGAGUUCCUCCUCGUCAUCGUCGUCCUCUAGCUCCUCCUCUUCAUCAUCAUCGUCGUCGUCCUCCUCCUCCUCCUCUGGCUCCAGUUCUAGUGACUCAGAGGGCUCUAGCCUUCCUGUGCAACCUGAGGUGGCACUGAAGAGAGGACAGAACUAGAGGAAAUGGACUUAAUUUUACAGCAGGAGGGAUGGCAGUUAGACCUCAAGAGGAACUCCCUGGGCUGGAAGGAUCUUCAGAGGUCAUCCCAUCCCUCUCCCUGCCUCCAGGCAGGACGGCCCCUUCCCCAGCCAACCUGCACUCACAGGGGCCUCCCCAAGCUGCGGCUCUCCGAGGAAGGAGACUACCCAGCUUCAGCUUCCACACCUGAGCCCAGAGGCCUUAUUCCUCCAUCAGGGACAUUCUUGAGGUUUAACCUUGAUCCCUUAUGCUGCGGGCCCCAGCCUGUUGCUUCUGUUAGCAGAGGUUGGGUCAGCUCGAACCACUGCUCUCCAGAGAAUUGCUGGCUCACAUGGCUUGGAGAGCUCCCAGCGCCUUUCUCAGGCACCCCUCCCCCCACUGCCGUUCCUCCAGGCCAAGGA
Molecule: small RNA, 841 nt
Filed under: Pongo abelii (Sumatran orangutan)
Lineage: Eukaryota; Metazoa; Chordata; Mammalia; Primates; Hominidae
Description: processed transcript
Source: RNAcentral